UAUUCUUGCCUCCUUUGUUGAAGAUUAAUUGACCAUAGGUGUCUGGGCUUAUUUCUGUGUUCUUUGUUCUGUCCAUUGGUCUGUAUGUCUCUUUUGGUACCAACACCACACUGUCUUGAUGACCGUGGCGUUGUAAUAUUGCCUGAAGUCUGGGAGAGUUAUGCCUCCUACUUGGUUUUUGUUCCUCAGGACUGCUUUGGCAAUUCUGGGUCUUUUGUGGUUUCAUAUAAAGUUUUGGAUUGUUUCUUCUAGUUCUGUGAAAAAUGUCAUGGGUAACUUGAUAGGGAUUGCAUUGAAUCUGUAGAUUGCUUCGGAUAGUAUCGACAUUUUUACAAUAGUAAUUUUUCCAGCCCAGGGGCAUGGAGUUUCUUUCCAUUUCUUUGAAUCCUCCUUAAUUUCCUUGAUUAAUGUUUUAUAGUUCUCAGCAUGUAAGUCUUUCACCUCCUUGGUUGGGUUUAUUCCCAGGUUUUUUAUUUUUUUGGGUACAAUUUUAGAAGGUAUUGUAUUUUUGUAUUCCCUUUCUAAUAUUUUUGUUGUUAGUAUACAGAAAUGCGACUGAUUUCUGAAAGUUAUUCUUAUAUCCUGUGACUUUGCUGAAUUUCUUGAUCAGUUUGAGUAAUUUUUGGGUUGAGACCUUAGUGUUUUCUAUUUAUAGUAUCAAGUCAUCUGCAUACAGUGACAGUUUUGCCUCUUUUCUUGCAAUUUGGAUCCCAUUUAUUUCUUUUGUUUGUCUGAUUGCUGUGACUAGGACUUCCAGUACUGUGUUGAAUAGCAGUGGUGAUGGCAGUGAGAGUGGGCAUCCUUGUCUUGUUCCAUAUUUUAGUGGGAAGGCUUUCAGCUUGUCUCCAUUGAGUGUUAUAUUUGUUGUGGGAUUGUUGUAAAUGGCUUCUAUGAUGUUAGGGUAUGUUCCCUCUAUACCCACUUUGGUAAGAGUUUUUAUCAUGAAUGGGUGUUGGGCUUUGUCAAAUGCUUUUUCUGCAUCUAUUGAGAUGAUCAUGUGGUUUUGACUUUUCUUUUUUUUUUUUUGUCUUGUUGUUGUUGUUGUUAUUGUUGCUAUUUCUUGGGCCGCUCCUGCGGCAUAUGGAGGUUCGCAGGCUAGGGGUCGAAUCGGAGCUAUAGCCACCAGCCUACGCCAGAGCCACAGCAACGCGGGAUCCAAGCCGCGUCUGCAACCUACACCACAGCUCACGGCAACGCCGGAUCGUUAACCCACUGAGCAAGGGCAGGGACCGAACCCGCAACCUCAUGGUUCCUAGUCGGAUUCGUUAACCACUGCGCCACGACGGGAACUCCUGACUUUUCUUUUGUUAAUGUGGUGGAUGACGUUGAUUGACUUGCGUAUGCUGAACCAUCCUUGUGAACCUGGGAUGAAUCCCACCUGGUCAUGGUAUAUGAUCUUUUUGAUAUGUUGUUGGAUUCAAUUAGCUAAAAUUUUGUUGAGAAUGUUUGCGUCUAUAUUCAUCAAAGAUAUUGGCCUGUAAUUUUCUUUUUUGGUGGCAUCUUUGUCUGGUUUUGGAAUUAGGGUGAUGUUGGUAUCAUGGAAUGUCUUUGGGAGUGUUCCUUCUUCUUCAGCCUUUUGGAAAAGUUUAAGGAGGAUGGGUGAAAGUUCCUCUUUGUAUGUUUGGUAGAAUUCACCUGUGAAGCCAUCUGGUCCUGGAUUUUUAUUUGUAGGGAGUGUUUUUAUUACAUUUUCAAUUUCAUUCUAGUGAUCCAUCUGUUCAGUUGAUCUAUUUCUUCUUGAUUCAGUUUUGGCAGGCUCUAAGUCUCUAGAAAGUUGUCCAUUUCUUCUAGGUUGUCAAAUUUGUUGGCAUAAGAUUGUUCAUACUAUUCUCUUAUGGUUUUUUGUAUUUGUGCAGUAUCUGUUGUGAUUUCUCCUUUUUCAUUUCUUAUUUUGUUUAUUUGGUUUUUUUCUCUCCUCUUCUUGGUGAGUCUGGCCAGAGGUUUGUAAAUUUCAUUUACCUUUUCAAAGAACCAUCUCUUGUUUGUAUUGAUUUUUUUCUAUUGUUUUUUGAAUCUCUGUUUUAUUGAUUUCCUCUCUGAUCUUUAUGAUUUCCUUCCUUCUGCUGACUUUAGGUUUUGUUGUCCUUUUUCUAAUUCAUUUAGGUGGUAGGUUAAGUUGUCGAUUUGAGAUUUUCCUUCUCUUUUGAGGAAGGCCUGUAUUGCUCUGAAUUUCCCUCUGAGUACUGCUUUUGUGGCAUCCUAUAGAUUUUGAGUGGUUGUGUCUUCAUUAUCAUUUGUCUCAAGGUAUUUUUAUUUUAUUUUAUUUUAUUUUUCUGCCUGUUUGCCUUUUCUAGGGCUGCUCCCUCGGCAUAUGGAGGUUCCCAGGCUAGGGGUUGAAUCAGAGCUGUAGCCGCCAGCCUAGGCCAGAGCCACAGCAAUGGGGGAUCCGAGCCAUGUCUGCAACCUACACCACAGCUCACGGCAAUGCCAGAUCCUUAACAACCCACUGAGCAAGGCCAGGCAUCGAACCCGCAACCUCACGGUUCCUAGUCGGAUUCGUUAACCACUGUGCCAUGACGGGAAUUCCUCUCAAGUUAUUUUUAGAUUUCCUUCUUGAUUUCCUCAUUGACCUAUUGGUUUUUUAGUAGCAUGUUUAGUCUCCAUGUAGUCAGUUUUUUCUCAUUGCUUUUCCUGUGGUUAAUUUCUACUUUUUUCAUGCCAUUGUGAUCAGGGGAGAUACUUGAAAUAAUUUCUAUAUUCUUAAAUUUGUCGAGGUUAGCUUUGUGCCCCAGUAUGUGAUCGAUCCUUAAGAAUGUUCCAUGUGCACUUGAGAAGAAUGUAUAUUCUGAUUUUUUGGAUGUGAUGUCCUGAAAAUGUUGAUUAAGUCUAACUUUUCUAUUGUGUCAUUUAGGAUCUCUGUUGCCUUAUUUUCUGUUUAGAGGAUCUGUCCAUUGAUGUAAGUGGAAUGUUAAAGUCUCCUACUAUGACUGUAUUCCCAUCAAUUUCUCCUUUUAUGUCUGUUAGUUUUUGUUGUAGGUAUCUGGGUGCUCCUAUAUUAGGGGGCAUAUAUAUAUAUUGAUGAUUGUAAUAGCCUCUUCUUGCAUGGAUCCUUUUACCAUUAAAUAGUGUCCUUCAUUAUCUUUCUUUAUGGCCUUCAUUUUAAAGUGUAUUUUGUCUGAUAGGAGUAUUGCAGCUCCUGCUUUCCUGUCUUGUCCGUUGGCAUGAAAUAUUUUUCCCCAUCCCGUCACUUUCAACCUAUAUGUGUGCUUUACCCUAAGGUGAGUCUCCUGUACAUAGGACUUUGUAGAGUUUUGCUUUUUUAUCUAAUCUGCCACACUUUUUCUUUUGAUUGGAGCAUUCAGUCCAUUGACGUUUAAGGUAAUUAUUGAUAGAUAUGUAUUUAUUGACACUUUAAACCUUGUUUUCCAGUUGCUUCUGUGUUUUUCCUUUCUUCCUUUCUUUUAAAAAUAUAAUUUUAAGGAUUACUUUUCAUUUAUAGUUACUACAGGAUAUUGGCUGUGUUCUUCAUGUUGUAUAAUACAUCCUUGAGUCCAUCUUACACCCAGUAGUUUGUACCUCCCACUCCCCCACCUUGGUAUUGCCCUGCCCCCCACUGGUAACCACUAGUUGCUUCUCUGUAUCUAUGAGUCUGCUUCUUUUAUCUUAUAUUUACUGUUUUGUUGUAUUUUUUAGAUUCCACAUAUAAGUGAUAUCAUACAAUAUUUAUCUUUAUCAGACUUAUUUCAUUUAGCAUAAUGCCUUCUAAAUCCAUCCGUGUUCCUGCAAAUGGCAAAAUUUCAUUCUUUUUAUGGCUGAGUAAUAUUCUUGUGUGUGUGUGUGUGUGUGUGUAUACCACAUCCUUUUUAUCCAUUUAUCUGUUAUUGAUGGAUGCUUAAGUUGGAGCUAGAGCAUCCAUCCCAAAGCAAAAGAAUAUAUAUUCUUUUCAAGUGCACAUGGAACAUUCUUCAGGAUAGAUCACAUGCUAGACCACAAAACAAGCCUAGGUAAAUUUAAGAAAAUUGAAAACAUCUCAAGAAUCUUUUCUAUCCCUAGACUGUGUACCUGGGUGCCUCACCCCCUCACCCUAGACAGCCUAGUUAGUUCUCUGACUCCAUGUCAGCACCCCAGCACUGCAAGCAAGUGCUCUGAUUGCCCCUGCCUGAAACUGCAAAGACCCUAUGGUGCCUUUUCCUUUUAAAUGUUCCUGGGGCCUGCACCUCUGAGAAUUUGCAGCAUGUUGAUAUGGUCAGGAAGGAGGGAUGGAGGCAAGCUAGGCCUGGGACAGGCCAUUGGCUGGCAAAGGGGUAGGAAAGAGGAUUGUGGAAGAAGAACUGCAGACAGUGAUGCUUAGGAGGCUGAGAAUAGACGGAGAUCUGGAAGAGCUGGCAGGAAGGGUGCAAUGAUGGGGUGGAGUGGGCAUUUGAGUACGUGAGGCGUGGGGGCAUCCAGAAGGGAGUGUGGUGCUGGAUGAGACGCUUAUGAGGAUGCCCAGACCCCAUCAUAUAGCUGAGAUUGGGGACCAUAGUCUCAUGGGCAUGAUACCUGGCACAGCCUCUGUAGGGGAGAUUUGGUCAUAGCUAUUGGAAUUACAGAUGUACAGACCUUGUUCCCAGCAGUCACAUUGUGGGACUUUAAUCCUUGCAUUAGACUUGUACACGUGCAAAAAAACCCACAUGCACAGAGUUACCAAGGUAGCAUUAUCAAUAAGCUUAAAAGACUGAAACAAUAUAAAUAUCAUUUAAAAGGACUGGUUGAAUGAUUGUAUAUCUGCAUAAUGGCUGGGAAAAAGAAAGAGGAUGUCUUGCCUGUACUGAUGCUUCAGUAGUGGAGACAGUGAUGAUGAUGGAGAUGGAGAGUGUGUUGGAGAAGGAUGUGAAUGAUGAUGGUGAUGCAGACAGUGGUGAUGACGAAGGAGAUGGUGAUGAUGACGGAGAGAUGGAUAUGAUGGAUGAGAUCACAACGGGAAUAAAUACCAAGCAUCUACUGUGUGUGGGGAUGGUGUCAUGUACUUUACUUAUGGCAGUUCGUUUACCUUAGAUUUGUUGUCAAGCGAACAAAUCCAGAUGUAGAAUUAGUGAAUAGCCUGCUACCGUCUGGUAGAAAAGAACUUUUCAGAAAAUGUCUCCAGAAAGAGACACAGAGAUUGGGAGGGGGCGCAAAUGGGGUGAUUGGGGAACGACAGGGAGGAAAGUUUUACUGGGUAUUUGAUGUUCUUUUUGCAUUUUGUGUCACGUAAAACUUUUACCUAUUCAAAAAAGUCUAAUUACAGUGAAAGAAAUCAAGUAAAGACACUUGGAGAGGAACCAUGAAAAAGGCAGUUGUCCUCAACAACCUGAGACCCCUACCAACCACUUUCCCUUUCAAGUCAAAGUGUUUACCCUUAAGUAGAAUUAGGUGGUGUUUAAAAAAUAGAAAAAGAAACAAAGAAAGAGAAACAGAAAAACUCCCCUUCUUCAUCUCUCUGUUGUGGCACAGUCUUGAGCACUGUUUGCCUAUGGAGUUUUUAAUGGGCUGCAAUAUGACAUUCAACAGCUAAAGAUUCUGUCUUGGAAUCUUCGGUGCUGAUGUUUUUGAAGUAUCACAGAGGGGAUUCUUACUGGCACAUUUUUCAUUAGCUGUUGUGGAAGGUACAUCAUUGUAGCUAAGACUUGGGGCUGUGGAGUCAGACAGACCUAGGAUUGAAUGCAGUUUCUAAUAGACUUGCUAACUGUGACCUUAGGCCAGUGAAUCAACAUUUCUGAUCCUCAGUUUCUCUUUUUUUCUUGGCCACACCUACAGCAUGUGGAAGUUCCUGGACUAGGGAUUGAAUCCGAGUCACAUCUGUGACCCGUGCCGGAGCUGUGGCAAUGUUGGAUCCUUAACCCACUUCCCUGAGCUGGGGAUUGAACAUGUGCCACCACAGAGACGAUGCCGGAUCUUAACCUACUGUGCCACAGCGGGAACUUCUGCUCCUCAGCUUCUGUGUGAGUAAUACGGGAAGAGUAAUAGUAACAGCUGCCUCGGGCUGCUGCGGGUCCCUGGGUGCUGAUGUUGACCGUGACGAUGACUGUCCCAGGCAGACUCAUUGAGAUGCUCAUUCCCCGGCGCCGGCAGGUACCAUUGUCCUCUGAAAUCUGAAUCCAGUGCUUCUCGGACCGCACAGUGGGACAGGGAUGCAGUGUGGGAAGUGACACUCUGGCCUCGAUGUCGUCUUCUGAAACUGGGUGCCGUCCUGGUGGGCUCCCGCUGUGCUCACUCCUUCCUCGUCCAGGAUAACCCCCUUCCCCAGACAUCAGCUUACUCAGCCACCCUCGCUUAAUCUCUCUCCAUUCUUCAUAGCUAUGCUUGUGUACACAUUCUAAAUACGUGCCUAGUGGAGCCCGGAUUCUUGUUUUCCUCCCUGCUCACUCCUGGGAUGGUCCCACAAGGGAGCUAAUUAGCACCGUAUUUUUAACGGCAGCCUCCUCUCUGGAAGUGUGCGGCUUUAUUUGGUGUUCUUGUUGCCACCCAAGCGUGGAGUCAUUUCAGGGCUGGCUGGAUUCAUCUCACUGAUGGACACCAAGAAAAACACUUUGCUCACUUUACAUCCAUAACCCACUGCUUCCAUCUGAGGGAAGAGAAUUCCAGAGGAUCCUGCCAUUAUCGCUU
Molecule: long non-coding RNA, 6567 nt
Filed under: Sus scrofa (pig)
Lineage: Eukaryota; Metazoa; Chordata; Mammalia; Artiodactyla; Suidae
Description: lncRNA (ENSSSCG00175035379.1)
Source: RNAcentral